Long non-coding RNA from Rhinolophus ferrumequinum (greater horseshoe bat), 744 nucleotides. RefSeq lists it as uncharacterized. The transcript has 3 exons. Lineage: Eukaryota; Metazoa; Chordata; Mammalia; Chiroptera; Rhinolophidae. The record is from RefSeq and is a predicted model, not a curated record.
UAUUCUGCUCAUUCUCCCAUCUGUGUGCGUCAGGACAUGCCAGGGCUGUGUGUCUACAUUUCGUUUUUGGACAAUAAAACAUCUUGGACCCAACCUCUCAGCACUUGAUACUCUUCAACCCUCCCUCCAUUUUGAAAUUUUCUCCCUCAAUUACCAAAAAGUGGCGUUCUUCAGGUUUUCCUUCUUCCUCGUCUGGACCCUGGGCAGCAGCAGUGAGAGAGGAUGAAGAAGACCUGGAGCAUCUUCUCUAUCCUUUGGCCAGUGGUCAUGGUUGGCUGGAGAUAUGUGGGCAUCCAGGGCAGGCCAAUCACUUGGCAUCUCUUCAGCAGGAUAUCUUUUCAGUAUUUGUUCAAAGUGGAUUUAGAAGCGUGGUCAAGGGCUUUGUUGGGGUGGGUAGAGAACUGCUGGGGCCAGCCUCGGCCCCUCUUGCCUUCCCAAUUGAUUUGUGUUCCCCACUUGACAAAGCAAAAGUUCUACUGUUUAGCCAACCUCAGCAUCUUGUCACUAGAGUAGUCUUGACCGUGAAGGGAGUUCACUUUUCCCCUAAGAGGUUUGCCAAAUAAUUUCUCCUACACACAUCUCCUUACAUUUCCACCUGCCAGCUAGCCCAACCCUUACUCAAAUUCUGGCUACAAGAGCCUCUGUCAAAUAUAUGGUGAUGGAAGGAGAACUGACUCUGGGUGGUGAACACACAAUGGGAUUUACAGAUGAUGUAACACCGAAUUGUACACUUGAAAUCUGUGU